RNA transcript from Cheilinus undulatus (humphead wrasse), 3811 nucleotides. It is a transcript of the gene named WD repeat domain 20b, with no coding region annotated. The transcript is spliced from 4 exons. NCBI's taxonomy places the organism in Eukaryota, Metazoa, Chordata, Actinopteri, Labriformes, Labridae. The record is from RefSeq and is a predicted model, not a curated record.
AGGAUGAACGCCAAUUUCCAAGAUGGCGGCGGAGGGAGGAGGGAAGGAGAUGAACGAAAUUAAAACUCAAUUCACCACCAGAGAAGGCGUCUACAAACUCCUCACUCACUCCGAAUACAGCCGGCCGAACAGGGUGCCUUUUAACUCGCAGGGCUCGAACCCCGUCAAGGUCUCCUUCGUCAAUGUGAACGACCAGUCCGGCAACGGCGACAGGAUCUGUUUCAAUGUGGGCCGGGAACUCUACUUUUAUAUCUACAAAGGCGUGAGAAAGGCUGCCGAUCUCAGCAAGCCCAUAGACAAGAGGAUAUACAAAGGAACGCAGCCCACGUGUCAUGACUUCAACCCCCUCACAGCUACUGCAGAGAGCGUCUCCCUGCUCGUGGGCUUCUCAGCGGGUCAGGUGCAGCUCAUCGACCCAAUCAAGAAGGAAACCAGCAAACUCUUCAAUGAAGAGAGGCUCAUAGACAAGUCCCGAGUUACAUGUGUGCGAUGGGUUCCUGGUUCAGAAAGCCUGUUCUUGGUGGCUCACUCCAGCGGCAGCAUGUAUUUGUACAACGUGGAGAACACCUGUGGCACCACGGCACCUCACUACCAGCUCCUGAAGCAGGGUGAGAACUAUGCUGUACAUACGUGCAAGAGCAAGUCGGCCCGCAACCCCCUACUGCGCUGGACUGUUGGCGAAGGAGCACUCAAUGAGUUCGCCUUCUCUCCUGACGGGAAGUUUCUGGCUUGUGCAAGCCAGGACGGCUUCCUGCGGGUGUUUGGCUUUGAUGCCGCAGAGCUCCACGGGACGAUGAAGAGCUACUUUGGUGGCUUACUGUGCGUGUGCUGGAGCCCAGAUGGACGAUACAUUGUAGCGGGAGGGGAGGACGACCUGGUGACGGUGUGGUCGUUUUCAGACUGUAGGGUAAUUGCACGGGGGCACGGUCACAAGUCAUGGGUGAGUGUGGUGGCUUUUGACCACUGCACUACCAGUGUGGAGGAUGGUGACCCCCCAGCUGAGUUCAGCGGUAGUGACGAAGACUUCCAUGAGCAGAUUCACUUUGGUGCAGGCAGAGACAGGGCGAACAGUGCUCACUCUCGCCUUUCUAAGAGGAACUCUACGGACAGUCGGCCUGUUAGUGUGACGUACAGGUUUGGCUCAGUGGGUCAGGACACCCAGCUGUGUCUGUGGGACCUAACAGAGGACAUUCUCUUCCCUCACCUCCCUUUGUCCCGUACCAGGACUCACACUAAUGUUAUGAAUGCCACAAGCCCCCCAACCACUGGACAGACUACUACUACUACUAGUACUACUACUACUACGACGACUACUGUAUCCACUGCUAACCCUAGUGGCACCAAUGGUAAAGACAAUGUGAGCAAUAGCAGCACCAGUGCUAACCCCGCUAACUCCCUCCCGGGCUCUCUUCCCCGGUCCAAUAGCUUGCCCCAGGCCACCAACCCACCCGGGGGCAGCACGCCUAACAGCCACACGGGCAGCAGCACCAACAGCAGCGGCAGCACCAAGGGCAACAGCAUCAUCGACAGCGCGUUCAUCGCCACAGGUGUCAGCAAGUUUGCCACCCUGUCGCUACACGACUCACGCAAGGAGCGCCACGAGAAGGACCACAAACGGAACCACAGCAUGGGGCACAUCAGCAGCAAGAGCAGCGACAAGCUCAACCAGCUCAGCUCAUCCAGGACGGCAAAAGCAGAAGUAGCAAAGACUCUUGGCACGACACUGUGUCCGCGUAUGGAGGAAGUGCCGCUGCUGGAGCCGCUGGUGUGCAAGAAGAUCGCUCAUGAGAGACUCACUGUGUUAAUCUUCCUUGAGGACUGUCUGGUAACAGCCUGUCAGGAGGGUUUCGUUUGCACAUGGGCUAGGCCCGGGAAAGUGGUGAGUGACAGGCCUCUCGAGGAUACUGUCAUGUGACACCUCUUAACGUCCAUUGUCUUGCGUACAGCCAUUUUUCUCUCUGCAUUCAGAAGCUGUAAGCGCCACUGUGUGCAGCCAAAGGUUUUGGUUAUUUCACGUCUGAUUUAAACCAAAGCCUGAGCAUUUUGAUGGUUAAUAGCACAUCUUCUGCGACAGGAUUGCUAUCAUCUCAAAACAACCCCGCCAACUCCCCAAGUGGAACAGUAGUAUAGCCCCAGUGCAGGUGCUGCUAAUGACAGCUCCAUGCAUCAGAGACGGGGGGAUGACCAAGGCCACGGCCCUGCAGCGCUUCUUCACACACUGUCACACAUCACAUGACCUCCAGUGUCAGCUUCACUCUCAUCACUACGAACAUCCAGACGCUCUCUUUGUCUUACUGCUUAUGAUUAGAUAACAGAUGUUGGCCAAGCCAGGGUUAGAAGCUGAACUCCCUUUUUCUGCUGUUGGAAGUCGGAGUGUGAGCUUUAAAAUCGUCCAGGUUUUUCAGAGGGGUUGAUUGGCUUGUUCUUCCAUCUGUGGUCAUAUCAAGUGACAUCUAGUCUGAAAAUAACAAACUCAAAACCCAAUCCUUUGUGCCUGUAGAUCAUAUAAGACUAGAUUUGUGGUAAGCAGUGUGGUGAUGUCUCCAUCUAACCUUUUCAAGGGUUUAAUUCUGACAUGUUUCCCAUGUUAUGUUUCUUCAAACAUGUACCACAAAAAGGGAAAAAGAUUGUUUUGGAGCAGCAGCACACCCCCCAAUGCCAAGUCUCUCAUCUGUCACUACCUAGGUGAUCCCUAAUCACGAGCUCUAGAGACUGGAGCCUUUUUCUUCCUUCAUAUAUAUUUGAAUUUGAGGUAUCACACUUUAUAGUGUAUUUGCACAGAUUUUUUUUCUUUUUUACUUUUUCCCUUUUUUGGAAUUGAUGACGGUGGAUCCCAAGCAAAAUAUUUUGAGGACAGACUUCAGAAGCACUUGGGGGAUCGGCUGGUUAUCGCCCUCUGUCUCAACGCUGGAUGCUGCAAUCAUAAUAGUUUUUUUAUAUGGAAAAAAUGUUUGCACUUAAUAGUUUGUUAGAGGAGAAUGGCUUUACAUUUUUGGAGUGUGUAAGGACUCCUUGACAAGGUUGAAAUAUUAAUAGAAUUUAAAAAGAAAAACCUUUGUAUCUAUUAAACAUUUAUUUUAAUAUUGUUUCAGAUUAAAUGGGCUCUGUAUUAUAUGUAAAUAUUGUACUUCAAUGAUUUAUGGGUGAAAUGAUCAUUAUUUCAUUAGUUCAAAGAUCCUCAUUUCAGAAAAUAGUGAUAUUUCUACUACAGAAAAUCUAUACAUAAUAUUAAAAUGAAUCUUGAAUAUGCAGGUGAAACUGUUUUUUUCCUGUUGUACAUAAAGAGAAUUCAGGUGUAUUUUUAUUAAUGAAACGUUUGGUAUAGGAGAUGUCUAUGAAAUCCUCUUAUCUAACAGGUAGUGCUGAAUGCUAGCUAGCCUGUCGCUGCAAAUUCAUUUUUGACGUAGGCAGGUAGGCGUAGACGCAGCGGUCUAAUUCAGCCAUCACUCCGAGCUCAGGUAAACCCCAGGAAGACUAACGCUGGUAUAGUUCCCCUCUCUAUAGUCUCAUCCAUCAACGUUUGUGAAUUCACUCUGACUAACAAAAUAAGACUGACGACCAUGUUCUGAGGACAGGGCUGACCAUGCAAGCCCUGUUGAUUUGUGAGUAAUAAUUACUGAACUGAUGCUCAACUUGUGAACAAACAUUUGACACUGUGUUGAAUACCAACUGACUCACGUCAGCACUUGAUGAUGGAGUAAAUGCUUGAGGUGAGCGUGUUUUUACAAGCACCCACAAACAGGAUGACUGAGGAUUUUAACAGUGGGAGCCUUUUCCUCCAUGUGACGCCUAUUAAAACAGCUUUGACAGA